GGGUUGUGAGGUUAAGCGACUAAGCGUACACGGUGGAUGCCCUGGCAGUCAGAGGCGAUGAAGGACGUGCUAAUCUGCGAUAAGCGUCGGUAAGGUGAUAUGAACCGUUAUAACCGGCGAUUUCCGAAUGGGGAAACCCAGUGUGUUUCGACACACUAUCAUUAACUGAAUCCAUAGGUUAAUGAGGCGAACCGGGGGAACUGAAACAUCUAAGUACCCCGAGGAAAAGAAAUCAACCGAGAUUCCCCCAGUAGCGGCGAGCGAACGGGGAGCAGCCCAGAGCCUGAAUCAGUGUGUGUGUUAGUGGAAGCGUCUGGAAAGGCGCGCGAUACAGGGUGACAGCCCCGUACACAAAAAUGCACAUGCUGUGAGCUCGAUGAGUAGGGCGGGACACGUGGUAUCCUGUCUGAAUAUGGGGGGACCAUCCUCCAAGGCUAAAUACUCCUGACUGACCGAUAGUGAACCAGUACCGUGAGGGAAAGGCGAAAAGAACCCCGGCGAGGGGAGUGAAAAAGAACCUGAAACCGUGUACGUACAAGCAGUGGGAGCACGCUUAGGCGUGUGACUGCGUACCUUUUGUAUAAUGGGUCAGCGACUUAUAUUCUGUAGCAAGGUUAACCGAAUAGGGGAGCCGAAGGGAAACCGAGUCUUAACUGGGCGUUAAGUUGCAGGGUAUAGACCCGAAACCCGGUGAUCUAGCCAUGGGCAGGUUGAAGGUUGGGUAACACUAACUGGAGGACCGAACCGACUAAUGUUGAAAAAUUAGCGGAUGACUUGUGGCUGGGGGUGAAAGGCCAAUCAAACCGGGAGAUAGCUGGUUCUCCCCGAAAGCUAUUUAGGUAGCGCCUCGUGAAUUCAUCUCCGGGGGUAGAGCACUGUUUCGGCAAGGGGGUCAUCCCGACUUACCAACCCGAUGCAAACUGCGAAUACCGGAGAAUGUUAUCACGGGAGACACACGGCGGGUGCUAACGUCCGUCGUGAAGAGGGAAACAACCCAGACCGCCAGCUAAGGUCCCAAAGUCAUGGUUAAGUGGGAAACGAUGUGGGAAGGCCCAGACAGCCAGGAUGUUGGCUUAGAAGCAGCCAUCAUUUAAAGAAAGCGUAAUAGCUCACUGGUCGAGUCGGCCUGCGCGGAAGAUGUAACGGGGCUAAACCAUGCACCGAAGCUGCGGCAGCGACGCUUAUGCGUUGUUGGGUAGGGGAGCGUUCUGUAAGCCUGUGAAGGUGUGCUGUGAGGCAUGCUGGAGGUAUCAGAAGUGCGAAUGCUGACAUAAGUAACGAUAAAGCGGGUGAAAAGCCCGCUCGCCGGAAGACCAAGGGUUCCUGUCCAACGUUAAUCGGGGCAGGGUGAGUCGACCCCUAAGGCGAGGCCGAAAGGCGUAGUCGAUGGGAAACAGGUUAAUAUUCCUGUACUUGGUGUUACUGCGAAGGGGGGACGGAGAAGGCUAUGUUGGCCGGGCGACGGUUGUCCCGGUUUAAGCGUGUAGGCUGGUUUUCCAGGCAAAUCCGGAAAAUCAAGGCUGAGGCGUGAUGACGAGGCACUACGGUGCUGAAGCAACAAAUGCCCUGCUUCCAGGAAAAGCCUCUAAGCAUCAGGUAACAUCAAAUCGUACCCCAAACCGACACAGGUGGUCAGGUAGAGAAUACCAAGGCGCUUGAGAGAACUCGGGUGAAGGAACUAGGCAAAAUGGUGCCGUAACUUCGGGAGAAGGCACGCUGAUACGUAGGUGAAGUCCCUCGCGGAUGGAGCUGAAAUCAGUCGAAGAUACCAGCUGGCUGCAACUGUUUAUUAAAAACACAGCACUGUGCAAACACGAAAGUGGACGUAUACGGUGUGACGCCUGCCCGGUGCCGGAAGGUUAAUUGAUGGGGUCAGCGCAAGCGAAGCUCUUGAUCGAAGCCCCGGUAAACGGCGGCCGUAACUAUAACGGUCCUAAGGUAGCGAAAUUCCUUGUCGGGUAAGUUCCGACCUGCACGAAUGGCGUAAUGAUGGCCAGGCUGUCUCCACCCGAGACUCAGUGAAAUUGAACUCGCUGUGAAGAUGCAGUGUACCCGCGGCAAGACGGAAAGACCCCGUGAACCUUUACUAUAGCUUGACACUGAACAUUGAGCCUUGAUGUGUAGGAUAGGUGGGAGGCUUUGAAGUGUGGACGCCAGUCUGCAUGGAGCCGACCUUGAAAUACCACCCUUUAAUGUUUGAUGUUCUAACGUUGACCCGUAAUCCGGGUUGCGGACAGUGUCUGGUGGGUAGUUUGACUGGGGCGGUCUCCUCCUAAAGAGUAACGGAGGAGCACGAAGGUUGGCUAAUCCUGGUCGGACAUCAGGAGGUUAGUGCAAUGGCAUAAGCCAGCUUGACUGCGAGCGUGACGGCGCGAGCAGGUGCGAAAGCAGGUCAUAGUGAUCCGGUGGUUCUGAAUGGAAGGGCCAUCGCUCAACGGAUAAAAGGUACUCCGGGGAUAACAGGCUGAUACCGCCCAAGAGUUCAUAUCGACGGCGGUGUUUGGCACCUCGAUGUCGGCUCAUCACAUCCUGGGGCUGAAGUAGGUCCCAAGGGUAUGGCUGUUCGCCAUUUAAAGUGGUACGCGAGCUGGGUUUAGAACGUCGUGAGACAGUUCGGUCCCUAUCUGCCGUGGGCGCUGGAGAACUGAGGGGGGCUGCUCCUAGUACGAGAGGACCGGAGUGGACGCAUCACUGGUGUUCGGGUUGUCAUGCCAAUGGCACUGCCCGGUAGCUAAAUGCGGAAGAGAUAAGUGCUGAAAGCAUCUAAGCACGAAACUUGCCCCGAGAUGAGUUCUCCCUGACUCCUUGAGAGUCCUGAAGGAACGUUGAAGACGACGACGUUGAUAGGCCGGGUGUGUAAGCGCAGCGAUGCGUUGAGCUAACCGGUACUAAUGAACCGUGAGGCUUAACCUUACAACGCCGAAG
Molecule: ribosomal RNA, 2925 nt
Filed under: Escherichia coli
Lineage: Bacteria; Pseudomonadati; Pseudomonadota; Gammaproteobacteria; Enterobacterales; Enterobacteriaceae
Description: 23S ribosomal RNA
Rfam family: Bacterial large subunit ribosomal RNA
Source: RNAcentral